Non-coding RNA from Culex pipiens (northern house mosquito), 74 nucleotides. Lineage: Eukaryota; Metazoa; Arthropoda; Insecta; Diptera; Culicidae. The record is from Rfam.
GGCUCCGUGGCUUAAUGGUUAAGGCUUCUGUCUCCCAAGCAGAAGGUUCAGGGAUCAAAUCCCGGUCGGUACCU